RNAcentral lists this microRNA precursor (105 nucleotides) under Marmota monax (woodchuck). The record is from RNAcentral. Lineage: Eukaryota; Metazoa; Chordata; Mammalia; Rodentia; Sciuridae.
AUUUUAUCACCUGGAGAUCUUUUUGAAAUUCAGAUUCUGAUUUUCUAGGUCUAGGGUGGGGAUGCUGAUUUCUAUGUUUCUAGUAAGUUCCAAAGUGAUGUCAAU